Molecule: long non-coding RNA, 203 nt
Filed under: Ricinus communis (castor bean)
Lineage: Eukaryota; Viridiplantae; Streptophyta; Magnoliopsida; Malpighiales; Euphorbiaceae
Description: long non-coding RNA (RCOM_LNC002135)
Source: RNAcentral
GACAGAGCUGGGGGUGAUGGAAACGUUGGGACUUCCCCAGAUGGUUAGUAUGGGGAUGGUGACUCGUAGGCAGGGUCCGCUAGGACUAGAGUAUAGACUGAGGAAUGCUCUCUUGGCAGCACUCAGAGAGGAACGACCUGCCCCACGAGCCCAUGGUACACAGGAUGUCCCACCUUCUUCUGAUAUUCUGGGGUAUUCCUCCA